Molecule: ribosomal RNA, 437 nt
Filed under: uncultured bacterium
Lineage: Bacteria
Description: bacterial SSU rRNA
Rfam family: Bacterial small subunit ribosomal RNA
Source: RNAcentral
UGGGAACGCGAAGAACCUUACCAGGUCCUGACAUCCUUUGACAAUCCUAGAGAUAGGACUUUCCCUUCGGGGACAAAGUGACAGGUGGUGCAUGGUUGUCGUCAGCUCGUGUCGUGAGAUGUUGGGUUAAGUCCCGCAACGAGCGCAACCCCUAUUGUUAGUUGCCAGCAUUCAGUUGGGCACUCUAAUGAGACUGCCGGUGACAAACCGGAGGAAGGUGGGGAUGACGUCAAAUCAUCAUGCCCCUUAUGACCUGGGCUACACACGUGCUACAAUGGAUGGUACAACGAGCAGCAAGACCGCGAGGUCAAGCGAAUCUCUUAAAGCCAUUCUCAGUUCGGAUUGCAGGCUGCAACUCGCCUGCAUGAAGCCGGAAUCGCUAGUAAUCGCGGAUCAGCACGCCGCGGUGAAUACGUUCCCGGGUCUUGUACACACCG